Scylla paramamosain (green mud crab) is the source of this 417-nucleotide long non-coding RNA. RefSeq lists it as uncharacterized. The transcript is spliced from 2 exons. Lineage: Eukaryota; Metazoa; Arthropoda; Malacostraca; Decapoda; Portunidae. The record is from RefSeq and is a predicted model, not a curated record.
UAACGUUGGUAAGUCUUGAUAUUCAGAGGGCUGAUAUGCAUUUCAAUAUAUAACUACUAUGUGUCACUUGAAAUCGAAAACGCAUCCUUUGACUCUUCCAUCAACUUGCAACUCCUCAGUUUCAUCUCGACCACGACAGGAGAUGCAGAGCGCCGCAGCAGACUUUAGUGGAGGAUGAAGAGAAUUAAAGAAGUGCCAUGGUUUUGUGAAGUGAUUCGUCCAAUGAACAACCGAAGACUACGCCCUUCAACUGUCGAUGUGUGAUGUCUAUUUUCUGUUACCCCAUGAACAGCGUGUUAGACUCGCCGUUAGCCAGCCGUGGUGCUGGUACACGAGCUGCAAUGUUUUAAGUCAAAAGACUCCACAACUCUGAUGUUUAUUUUUUUUUUUUUUUUUUUUAAUAAAAUUUUCUCGACA